UCCGCAAUGGGCGAAAGCCUGACGGAGCAACGCCGCGUGAGGGACGAAGGCCUCUGGGCUGUAAACCUCUUUUCUCAAGGAAGAAGAUAUGACGGUACUUGAGGAAUAAGCCACGGCUAAUUCCGUGCCAGCAGCCGCGGUAAUACGGGAGUGGCAAGCGUUAUCCGGAAUUAUUGGGCGUAAAGCGUCCGCAGGCGGCUUUUCAAGUCUGCUGUUAAAGCGUGGAGCUUAACUCCAUCAUGGCAGUGGAAACUGAUAGGCUUGAGUAUGGUAGGGGCAGAGGGAAUUCCCGGUGUAGCGGUGAAAUGCGUAGAUAUCGGGAAGAACACCAGUGGCGAAGGCGCUCUGCUGGGCCAUUACUGACGCUCAUGGACGAAAGCCAGGGGAGCGAAAGGGAUUAGAUACCCCUGUAGUCCUGGCCGUAAACGAUGAACACUAGGUGUCGGGGGAAUCGACCCCUUCGGUGUCGUAGCUAACGCGUUAAGUGUUCCGCCUGGGGAGUACGCACGCAAGUGUG
RNAcentral lists this ribosomal RNA (517 nucleotides) under uncultured Alphaproteobacteria bacterium. RNAcentral's name for it is "bacterial SSU rRNA". It matches the Rfam family "Bacterial small subunit ribosomal RNA", at positions 365 to 896 of the family's 1533-position model. Lineage: Bacteria; Pseudomonadati; Pseudomonadota; Alphaproteobacteria. The record is from RNAcentral.